Molecule: ribosomal RNA, 429 nt
Filed under: Bacteroidota bacterium
Lineage: Bacteria; Pseudomonadati; Bacteroidota
Description: Bacteroidetes bacterium partial 16S ribosomal RNA
Rfam family: Bacterial small subunit ribosomal RNA
Source: RNAcentral
UAGGGAAUCUUCCGCAAUGGACGCAAGUCUGACGGAGCAACGCCGCGUGAGUGAAGAAGGAUUUCGGUUCGUAAAACUCUGUUGUUAGAGAAGAACAGCGCAUAGAGUAACUGUUAUGCGUGUGACGGUAUCUAACCAGAAAGCCACGGCUAACUACGUGCCAGCAGCCGCGGUAAUACGUAGGUGGCAAGCGUUGUCCGGAUUUAUUGGGCGUAAAGCGAGCGCAGGCGGUCAAUUAAGUCUGAUGUGAAAGCCCCCGGCUCAACCGGGGAGGGUCAUUGGAAACUGGUUGACUUGAGUGAGGAAGAGGAGAGUGGAAUUCCGUGUGUAGCGGUGAAAUGCGUAGAUAUAUGGAGGAACACCAGUGGCGAAGGCGACUCUCUGGUCUGUAACUGACGCUGAGGUUCGAAAGCGUGGGUAGCAAACAGG